Molecule: unclassified non-coding RNA, 152 nt
Filed under: Septoriella hirta
Lineage: Eukaryota; Fungi; Ascomycota; Dothideomycetes; Pleosporales; Phaeosphaeriaceae
Description: partial internal transcribed spacer 2
Source: RNAcentral
GUACCCUCAAGCUUUGCUUGGUGUUGGGUGUUUGUCCUCUCCUUUGCGUUUGGACUCGCCUUAAAGCAAUUGGCAGCCAGUGUUUUGGUAUUGAAGCGCAGCACAUUUUGCGAUUCUAGCCGAAAGACUUGCGUCCAUAAGCCUUUUUUAAC